GAUGAACGCUGGCGGCGUGCCUAAUACAUGCAAGUCGAGCGAACGGACGAGAAGCUUGCUUCUCUGAUGUUAGCGGCGGACGGGUGAGUAACACGUGGAUAACCUACCUAUAAGACUGGGAUAACUUCGGGAAACCGGAGCUAAUACCGGAUAAUAUUUUGAACCGCAUGGUUCAAAAGUGAAAGACGGUCUUGCUGUCACUUAUAGAUGGAUCCGCGCUGCAUUAGCUAGUUGGUAAGGUAACGGCUUACCAAGGCAACGAUGCAUAGCCGACCUGAGAGGGUGAUCGGCCACACUGGAACUGGGACACGGUCCAGACUACUACGGGAGGCAGCAGUAGGGAAUCUUCCGCAAUGGGCGAAAGCCUGACGGAGCAACGCCGCGUGAGUGAUGAAGGUCUUCGGAUCGUAAAACUCUGUUAUUAGGGAAGAACAUAUGUGUAAGUAACUGUGCACAUCUUGACGGUACCUAAUCAGAAAGCCACGGCUAACUACGUG
RNAcentral lists this ribosomal RNA (497 nucleotides) under uncultured bacterium. Its description in RNAcentral is "partial 16S ribosomal RNA". It matches the Rfam family "Bacterial small subunit ribosomal RNA", at positions 28 to 507 of the family's 1533-position model. The record is from RNAcentral.